This 879-nucleotide long non-coding RNA is filed under the name Capra hircus (goat). RNAcentral describes it as "lncRNA (ENSCHIG00010004507.1)". Lineage: Eukaryota; Metazoa; Chordata; Mammalia; Artiodactyla; Bovidae. The record is from RNAcentral.
AAAAACCCCAUAAAAAUGAAAAGAAAUACACACAGAAGAAGCAUGUGAGGUGACUGGGGAGGGAGGAGGGUCUCAGAGCUUUGGCAGAUUGUGCUAGCACAUUCCCGGGUGACAGGAGCCAGACCUGUCUGCCACUCCGGGGCUGUGAGGGGACAUCUUGACUGGUAAGGGGAUGGAACACAGGCUUCUUCGCUGAGGAAGUGGCAGGCACCUUGAGUCCCUUUAAAUGCAGGGGAGAACCAUUUUAGAGGACCUCUUCCUCCACAGAAAGCUGGAGGCUGGGGGGUGGGGGUGGUUUAGGGCCGCUGAGGGAAAACUGUGCUGGUGGAGACAAAAAGGCCAAGGUGUUUCUCACGUGGUGACAGCCUUACACUGGGCAGAGGACAAAGAUGAAGGCGUGAACCCACAGGAGAAAAACGUGGGCUAAGUAAAAGGGAAUGUCAAGGAAUGGGUUGCAGAUGAAGAGGCUAGAAAUGGCAACAAGGGCCAACCUGUAAGCUGGAAUGAGGGGAGCCAGGAAGCAGGGGUUGGGGGCUGGAUGUGUGAGGACUAUGGGAAGAGGAGGAAGGGCAGAGAGUCCAGGAGGUAGAGAGAGGGGUGCCUUCUGCCCAGGUCCAUCCACCACUGCACAUACAGGAAGAAUAACACACUACUUUUCAGUUCUCGUUUUCCUUUUUUUUUUUUUUUUAAGAUUUUUGUUUGUUUGUUUUUUAAAAAAAAGACUUAAGAUCAGCUACUGGUUACAUCUACAAACCGUAAAGUGCUGCUGUUACCAGUCACUUUACAGAACAGUCCAGAGUGGUCAAAUAUUGACCAAUAAAAUUUCCUUUUUUUUUUCCUUCUGCAUCCUUACUACUCGAUGAGUCACGUGACAGCCUG